UGUGGGAGCGGGCUUGCCCGCGAUGGCGGCUUGUCAGUCACACAUUUAUUGACUGAAAGUCCGCCAUCGCGGGCAAGCCCGCUCCCACA
RNAcentral lists this unclassified non-coding RNA (89 nucleotides) under Pseudomonas arsenicoxydans. The record is from RNAcentral. Lineage: Bacteria; Pseudomonadati; Pseudomonadota; Gammaproteobacteria; Pseudomonadales; Pseudomonadaceae.